RNAcentral lists this long non-coding RNA (356 nucleotides) under Gallus gallus (chicken). The record is from RNAcentral. Lineage: Eukaryota; Metazoa; Chordata; Aves; Galliformes; Phasianidae.
GCUGCUUCCUCCAGACAUCAUAGAGACAUCGAUGGCUCGCAGGAAAUUGAAAUGCACUUUAAUUAGGUCCUCCAAAUUGAUGAAGAUCGCUUCCAUGUCUUGCGGGGUCAGUACCAGCUUCAGUGGGUUCAUAUAGUUCUUCUCUAUGUCUUCAAGUGUUUUGUAGUAUUUGGCCUCCGUCUCCUGGAUUUCUAGCAAACAGCAAUUCCUUUUGUCAUCUUCUGUCAUGCCCAUUUUCAUGGGCUGCUGAACUUCCACCCGGAUGAUAUCUUCGUAGAUAUCAUCGCCUUCAUCUUCACAGGGGACGCAGUCAUAAAUAUCCUCCCCCAGAUCGUGCUCAUCAGCCAACUCCUCCA